RNAcentral lists this transfer RNA (72 nucleotides) under Caudoviricetes sp. RNAcentral describes it as "tRNA-Arg". It matches the Rfam family "tRNA". From Rfam's summary of the family: Transfer RNA (tRNA) molecules are approximately 80 nucleotides in length. The record is from RNAcentral. Lineage: Duplodnaviria; Heunggongvirae; Uroviricota; Caudoviricetes.
CUCUCCUUAGUUCAAUGGAUAGAACCUCUGUCUUCUAAACAGAUAAUUCCAGUUCGAAUCUGGAAGGAGAGA